This is a long non-coding RNA of Bombyx mori (domestic silkworm), 2516 nucleotides long. RefSeq lists it as uncharacterized. The transcript is spliced from 2 exons. The record is from RefSeq and is a predicted model, not a curated record. NCBI's taxonomy places the organism in Eukaryota, Metazoa, Arthropoda, Insecta, Lepidoptera, Bombycidae.
UCCACUUGACAAUUUUAUUGCAAACUCCGCGGCGUAUUAUUGAAAGUGUGUGAGGGCCCUUAACAUCUCCCUUACGCUAGUUAUCACAUUUUUUGAUGUGCCUGCGUCUUUUCUCGCCCACUUCACUUCCUUUUGUGUGCUCAAUAUUUUCGUGUUUACGGCGGUUUGUUAGAGAAUUGUCUACAAAGUAAUAGUAUUAGUAACACAAUUCCAGUUUAUACGUGUUUGGUCUUGGUAAAAGGAAAUCCAGUGUUUCUUUAACUAGUCUAUAUUGUUUGGUUCUUUUUUUAACAAUUCGAAGUUUUUAGUUACAGUAAACAUUAAAAUUAAAAAGUUAUGUUUCGACAUUUGCAAAAAAAUCCUUGGAUAUUUCCCGACAAAUAGCCUCUCAUGUUCAAAGCUCUUUGCCAAAUUGAAGAACGAUGUCCAAAAGGACGCUCCUCUCUGCCAAAGAGGGAAAAUCAAAGGAAAUCUUAUGAACUUUAUUAUUCGUGAGAGUUGUCUGAAAACUCCUGUCAACUACAAAACGAUGUGUCAAAUUAUUAAUCUAAUAUUAACAUUUUGGCUACGAAAAUGAAUCUAUCUAUGUAACAGAACUUUUUAACGUAAAUGUUACAAAUUUUAAGACGUCCAAACAAUGUGAAAAUUGCUUCCUUAUCGUGGAUGAUGACAACGGAAUAAUUUUAUAAUUUGGACUAAUAUUUUGACCAGGAUUAUCAAGAAAUAAAAAAGUGUUAUUUUUAGUUUGGCUUGCUUGAUUAUUAUUUUUAUUAUUUAUUUUAGUAUCAAAACCUCUUGGAAUAAUAAUUUAAACGGUAUUAAGAUAAACAUAAAGCAGAGUCUGAAUUCUGAAAUAUUUCCUUGUGAUGAAACCCUUGUGAAUUCAAGCAUUUUCUUACGUAGUCUGACUGUGAGAUGCCAUUGUUUUGCGGGCAACAUACCAAGUCCAAUUGUUCGCAUACUUUAUAAGUAGGAGGUUUGAAUUUCGGUAAUUUACGUGCGUAAAACGUUUUUAUUUGUUUGUUUUGAUCGAUAUAUAUGAGUCGUCUAUUAUCAAAGGUGGCAAUCUGUGCAUUUGGACAAAAAAAUGUUAUUGAUAUGUCAAUACAGAUUGAUUUGAAUAUAAUGGUCUCCUUCAAAGAAUACGGUUCAAAACCUGCAUUAAAUAAAGGUUAAUACUUAACCUGCUAUUUAUCUAAAAUGUCGUUCAGAAGAGUUUUGUGACUGCCAAUAGAAUACAAAGUCAAUAAUUCGUUUUUCUGAUUUACCAAUAAUUGUCCAAAAGUCACAUUGCCGGCUUUGAUAAUAGUCGACUCAUAUCACUACAGUGUUCCAAGUUAUGAUUUUUUUCGACAGAUAGUACCAAAACUUGUAGGUACUUUUCAAUACCUAUACAUUUUCAGUGACACUAAGACUUGUGCUUGUCAAAGUUCACAUUGAAAAUGUUAAUAUACAAUAAAGCUUUUUAUGAGAAUAACUUAAUUGCGCUAAAAGCUUAAUUCAAUAUACCUUGCUGAAUAGCGAGAUACGAAAAAUCCUGCUCAUAAUUAAAUUCUUAAUACCGUCUGUGGGUACAUAAAUUCGCAUGACGUAUAAAUGUGUUAUUUGAAUAAUAUUACAAUUUGGAACCGUUGGAACCUCGAGUUGGCAACUCCAUUUGCAUACUACAACCAUAGUGCAAAAAUGAAGUAGUAAGGACAGCCAGUGAUUUUGUUUUGAAUUUUAUAAAAUAUCAGAAAGCUAAAAUUCCAGAAACAAAAGUAUACGGCCAGAUUCAUAAGUUUUGGAGUAAAUAGCAACAACUUUGCUAUUUGGUUAAUUUCAUGUAUAUCUUUACUUGAUUAAUUUCCAAUAAGCGAAUUAAUUCCAAAAUACAAACAAAGUAAAUGAUGCACGUCAGGGAACUUUAGUUAAUAUCAAAUUACUAAAUCCGACGUUCGUUAAAUAAAUAUUAUUUAGUCUAAUAAUUAAUUGAUCAGAUAAUCUUAUGGUUAAACAUUUACAUGGAAUGCUGUCUUCGAGGAUACAAUAUGAAGCAUAAAUGCUCUGAUUAUAAUCGGGCGUAAUAGGCAUAGCAUAGCAUAAAUAAUACAAAAUGCCUUGUCGCUACUGGAAGUUUGGAUUUCAAAUAAGCAAUAUUAAUACUCGCAUUCGCAGGCACACUAUUUCUUGAAUUUUUAACUAUCUAAAAUAGUGUGGUCUAUAUAAAAUAAUAGAGAAAAGUUUAACAUGAAUAAAUUUUUCUAGUGAUGGCUACAAAAGAAAUAAUCUCGGCCUUCAUAAUAAUUAACAAUAUUUUUUGGCCCGGAUGAAACGUUUGGUUUAUAGCUACCCCAUCUUCAAAAAAGGUCAUACUGACAGUUCCGUGGUGUAGCUGCCACAGAAUUCGUGACGGAGAACAUCUUUGACACCCGCAAGAGAAAUCGACAGAUCUUGGAUGUUGUAGUCGUCCUGAAAAUGUAAAAAUUGGAUUUAUUUAAAUUUUAAUAAGAAUAAAUUUUAAAGUUUUAAUAAAA